AGUGAACGCUGGCGGUAGGCCUAACACAUGCAAGUCGAACGGCAGCACAGUAAGAGCUUGCUCUUACGGGUGGCGAGUGGCGGACGGGUGAGGAAUACAUCGCAAUCUACUUUUUCGUGGGGGAUACCGGAGGGAAACUUACGCUAAUACCGCAUACGACCUACGGGUGAAAGCAGGGGAUCUUCGGACCUUGCGCGAUUGAAUGAGCCGAUGUCGGAUUAGCUAGUUGGCGGGGUAAAGGCCCACCAAGGCGACGAUCCGUAGCUGGUCUGAGAGGAUGAUCAGCCACACUGGAACUGAGACACGGUCCAGACUCCUACGGGAGGCAGCAGUGGGGAAUAUUGGACAAUGGGCGGAAGCCUGAUCCAGCCAUACCGCGUGGGUGAAGAAGGCCUUCGGGUUGUAAAGCCCUUUUGUUGGGAAAGAAAAGCAGCAGGUUAAUACCCCGCUGUUCUGACGGUACCCAAAGAAUAAGCACCGGCUAACUUCGUG
This 492-nucleotide ribosomal RNA is filed under the name uncultured bacterium. RNAcentral's name for it is "partial 16S ribosomal RNA". It matches the Rfam family "Bacterial small subunit ribosomal RNA", at positions 29 to 507 of the family's 1533-position model. The record is from RNAcentral.